UACGUAGGAGGCAAGCGUUGUCCGGAAUUACUGGGUGUAAAGCGCGUGUAGGCGGCAGGCCAAGUCUGUGGUGAAAUCCCUCGGCUUAACCGGGGAACUGCGUCUGAUACUGGAUGGCUUGAGUUUGGGAGAGGGAUGCGGAAUUCCAGGUGUAGCGGUGAAAUGCGUAGAUAUCUGGAGGAACACCGGUGGCGAAGGCGGCAUCCUGGACCAACACUGACACUGAGGAGCGAAAGCCAGGGGAGCAAACGGG
RNAcentral lists this ribosomal RNA (253 nucleotides) under uncultured bacterium. RNAcentral describes it as "partial 16S ribosomal RNA". It matches the Rfam family "Bacterial small subunit ribosomal RNA", at positions 524 to 776 of the family's 1533-position model. The record is from RNAcentral.